AUGGCGGCAGCCGUUCUGAGUGGGCCCUCUGCGGGCUCCGCGGCUGGGGUUCCUGGCGGGACCGGGGGUCUCUCGGCAGUGAGCUCGGGCCCGCGGCUCCGCCUGCUGCUGCUGGAGAGUGUUUCUGGUUUGCUGCAACCUCGAACGGGGUCUGCCGUUGCUCCGGUGCAUCCCCCAAACCGCUCGGCCCCACAUUUGCCCGGGCUCAUGUGCCUAUUGCGGCUGCAUGGGUCGGUGGGCGGGGCCCAGAACCUUUCAGCUCUUGGGGCAUUGGUGAGUCUCAGUAAUGCACGUCUCAGUUCCAUCAAAACUCGGUUUGAGGGCCUGUGUCUGCUGUCCCUGCUGGUAGGGGAGAGCCCCACAGAGCUAUUCCAGCAGCACUGUGUGUCUUGGCUUCGGAGCAUUCAGCAGGUGUUACAGACCCAGGACCCGCCUGCCACAAUGGAGCUGGCCGUGGCUGUCCUGAGGGACCUCCUCCGAUAUGCAGCCCAGCUGCCUGCACUGUUCCGGGACAUCUCCAUGAACCACCUCCCUGGCCUUCUCACCUCCCUGCUGGGCCUCAGGCCAGAGUGUGAGCAGUCAGCAUUGGAAGGAAUGAAGGCUUGUAUGACCUAUUUCCCUCGGGCUUGUGGUUCUCUCAAAGGCAAGCUGGCCUCAUUUUUUCUGUCUAGGGUGGAUGCCUUGAGCCCUCAGCUCCAACAGUUGGCCUGUGAGUGUUAUUCCCGGCUGCCCUCUUUAGGGGCUGGCUUUUCCCAAGGCCUGAAGCACACCGAGAGCUGGGAGCAGGAGCUACACAGUCUGCUGGCCUCACUGCACACCCUGCUGGGGGCCCUGUACGAGGGAGCAGAGACCGCUCCUGUGCAGAAUGAAGGCCCUGGGGUGGAGAUGCUGCUGUCCUCAGAAGAUGGUGAUGCCCAUGUCCUUCUCCAGCUUCGGCAGAGGUUUUCGGGACUGGCCCGCUGCCUAGGGCUCAUGCUCAGCUCUGAGUUUGGAGCGCCCGUGUCCGUCCCUGUGCAGGAAAUCCUGGAUUUCAUCUGCCGGACCCUCAGCGUCAGUAGCAAGAAUAUUGUAAGUGGGAUUUGUCAUCUCUUCAGAGCCCUUGCUCAGGAUACCAGGCAACCAGGAAAGUACUGGGGACCUGAGUCUCCCCAAACAGUGUCAUCCUGGAGUCGUCCCAGAGAGCUUCCUACUUUUGUCCAAAUAACAUCACUUCCUAUGUGUCGUGACACAGGAGCACAGUGUCAGAGUGUAGCAAAUGCUUCCUUGGGGGAGGGUGAAUUUGGGGAUCAGCUGAGUCAUUGCUGAGAGGCCCAGCCAUCCUUCUUACCUUCCAUCCAGGGUCUAUUUUAGAGGAUAGGGGUUUGAUUUUGUUGGGAGAGCUGAGAUCAGGGGUUGGGUUUCUUACCUAUGUGUACAUAUGUAAAUGGUCUGUCCCUGUUUCUGUCUCUUUCUGGCUCUCACUUUCUUCCCCCACUCUUCAUCUCUGCCACUUUUUUCUCCAGAGCUUGCAUGGAGAUGGUCCCCUGCGGCUGCUGCUGCUGCCCUCUAUCCACCUUGAGGCCUUGGACCUGCUGUCUGCACUCAUCCUCGCGUGAGUGGGAUUGGGCUGGCUGUGGUGAAGGGAUAGGGCAUGCCAGAAACGAGGGUCACCAUUCCUUCUCUGCCCCAGGUGUGGAAGCCGGCUCUUGCGCUUUGGGAUCCUGAUCGGCCGCCUGCUUCCCCAGGUCCUCAAUUCCUGGAGCAUCGGUAGAGAUUCCCUCUCUCCAGGCCAGGAGAGGCCUUAUAGCACGGUUCGGACCAAGGUGUACGCGAUAUUAGAGCUGUGGGUGCAGGUUUGUGGCGCCUCGGCGGGAAUGCUUCAGGGAGGAGCCUCUGGAGAGGCCCUGCUCACCCACCUGCUCAGCGACAUCUCCCCGCCAGCUGAUGCCCUUAAGCUGCGUAGCCCGCGGGGGAGCCCUGAUGGGAGUUUGCAGACUGGGAAGCCUAGCGCCCCCAAGAAGCUAAAGCUGGAUGUGGGGGAAGCUAUGGCCCCGCCAAGCCACCGGAAAGGGGAUAGCAAUGCCAACAGCGACGUGUGUGCGGCUGCACUCAGAGGCCUCAGCCGGACCAUCCUCAUGUGUGGGCCUCUCAUCAAGGAGGAGACUCACAGGAGACUGCAUGACCUGGUCCUCCCCCUGGUCAUGGGUGUACAGCAGGGUGAGGUCCUAGGCAGCUCCCCGUACACGAGCUCCCGCUGCCGCCGUGAACUCUACUGCCUGCUGCUGGCGCUGCUGCUGGCCCCGUCUCCUCGCUGCCCACCUCCUCUUGCCUGUGCCCUGCAAGCCUUCUCCCUCGGCCAGCGAGAAGAUAGCCUUGAGGUCUCCUCUUUCUGCUCAGAAGCACUGGUGACCUGUGCUGCUCUGACCCACCCCCGGGUUCCUCCCCUGCAGCCCAUGGGCCCCACCUGCCCCACACCUGCUCCAGUUCCCCCUCCUGAGGCCCCAUCGCCCUUCAGGGCCCCACCCUUCCAUCCUCCGGGCCCCAUGCCCUCAGUGGGCUCCAUGCCCUCAGCAGGCCCCAUGCCUUCAGCAGGCCCCAUGCCCUCAGCAGGCCCUGUGUCCUCGGCACGCCCUGGACCUCCCACCACAGCCAACCACCUAGGCCUUUCUGUCCCAGGCCUAGUGUCUGUCCCUCCCCGGCUUCUUCCUGGCCCUGAGAACCACCGGGCAGGCUCAAAUGAGGACCCCAUCCUUGCCCCUAGUGGGACUCCCCCACCUACUAUACCCCCAGAUGAAACUUUUGGGGGGAGAGUGCCCAGACCAGCCUUUGUCCACUAUGACAAGGAGGAGGCAUCUGAUGUGGAGAUCUCCUUGGAAAGUGACUCUGAUGACAGCGUGGUGAUCGUGCCCGAGGGGCUUCCCCCCCUGCCACCCCCACCACCCUCAGGUGCCACACCACCCCCUAUAGCCCCCACUGGGCCACCAACAGCCUCCCCUCCUGUGCCAGCGAAGGAGGAGCCUGAAGAACUUCCUGCAGCCCCAGGGCCUCUCCCGCCACCCCCACCUCCGCCCCCGCCUGUUCCUGGUCCUGUGACGCUCCCUCCACCCCAGUUGGUCCCUGAAGGGACUCCUGGUGGGGGAGGACCCCCAGCCCUGGAAGAGGAUUUGACAGUUAUUAAUAUCAACAGCAGUGAUGAAGAGGAGGAGGAAGAGGAAGAAGAGGAGGAAGAAGAGGAAGAGGAGGAAGAGGAGGAAGACUUUGAGGAAGAGGAAGAGGAUGAAGAGGAAUAUUUUGAAGAGGAAGAAGAGGAGGAAGAAGAGUUUGAGGAAGACUUUGAGGAAGAAGAAGGUGAGUUAGAGGAAGAAGAGGAAGAGGAGGAUGACGAGGAGGAGGAACUGGAAGACGUGGAAGACCUGGAGUUUGGCACAGCAGGAGGGGAGGUAGAAGAAGGUGCACCUCCACCCCCAACCCUGCCUCCGGCUCUGCCUCCCCCUGAGUCUCCCCCAAAGGUGCAGCCAGAACCCGAACCCGAACCCGGGCUGCUUUUGGAAGUGGAGGAGCCAGGGACGGAGGAGGAGCGUGGGGCUGACACAGCUCCCACCCUGGCCCCUGAAGCGCUCCCCUCCCAGGGAGAGGUGGAGAGGGAAGGGGAAAGCCCUGCAGCAGGGCCCCCUCCCCAGGAGCUUGUUGAAGAAGAGCCCUCUGCUCCCCCAACCCUGUUGGAAGAGGAGACUGAGGAUGGGAGUGACAAGGUGCAGCCCCCACCAGAGACACCUGCAGAAGAAGAGAUGGAGACAGAGACAGAGGCCGAAGCUCUCCAGGAAAAGGAGCAGGAUGACACAGCUGCCAUGCUGGCCGACUUCAUCGAUUGUCCCCCUGAUGAUGAGAAGCCACCACCUCCCACAGAGCCUGACUCCUAGCCAUCUUCUGCACCCCACUCUUUGUUUCCAAUAAAGUUAUGUCCUUAGAUA
This 3950-nucleotide small RNA is filed under the name Pan troglodytes (chimpanzee). RNAcentral describes it as "retained intron". The record is from RNAcentral. Lineage: Eukaryota; Metazoa; Chordata; Mammalia; Primates; Hominidae.